This 253-nucleotide ribosomal RNA is filed under the name uncultured bacterium. RNAcentral describes it as "partial 16S ribosomal RNA". It matches the Rfam family "Bacterial small subunit ribosomal RNA", at positions 524 to 776 of the family's 1533-position model. The record is from RNAcentral.
UACGUAGGGUGCGAGCGUUGUCCGGAAUUAUUGGGCGUAAAGGGCUCGUAGGCGGUUUGUCGCGUCGGGAGUGAAAACCUCGGGCUUAACUCGGGGCUUGCUUUCGAUACGGGCAGACUAGAGGUAUGCAGGGGAGAACGGAAUUCCUGGUGUAGCGGUGAAAUGCGCAGAUAUCAGGAGGAACACCGGUGGCGAAGGCGGUUCUCUGGGACGGUACUGACGCUGAGGAACGAAAGCUAGGGGAGCAAACGGG